This 642-nucleotide ribosomal RNA is filed under the name Triticum aestivum (bread wheat). Its description in RNAcentral is "partial small subunit ribosomal RNA". The record is from RNAcentral. Lineage: Eukaryota; Viridiplantae; Streptophyta; Magnoliopsida; Poales; Poaceae.
AUGAAGAACUCAUUGGGAAAGAUGGGGAAGAUGAAGGCUCGUCGGCGAAUAGGCAACGAGAUAGGAGAUCUGAAGAAGCAAAUCAUCGAGGUGGCGGAGAGGAAUGCAAGGUACAAGGCCCAUGAGGCCUUCUCCAAGGCCAAGAAUACAACCAUUGAUCCUAGAGCUCUUGCUAUCUUUCAGCAUGCCUCCGAGCUUGUCGGAAUUGAUGAACCCAAGGCUGAGUUAAUUAAACUAUUGACUCAAGGUGUGUCAACACAAGAGAAAAUAAAGUUGGUAUCCAUAGUAGGAUCCGGUGGAAUGGGCAAGACAACUCUUGCAAAUCAAGUGUAUGAAGAUCUCAAAGGAGAAUUCCAAUGUCAGGCCUUCAUAUCUGUGUCUAGAAAUCCAGAGAUGAUGAAUAUCAUGAGAACUAUUUUUAGUGAAGUCAGUGGGAAAGAUUAUGCUAACACUGAAGCAGGUAGUAUACAACAACUCAUUAGCAAGAUCGCCGAUUUCCUGGCAGACAAAAGGGGUGCGGAGCACCAGGGAGCUCCUGUGUAUUUUCCGUUUAUAGUCUGCUUACAUGACACUAUCAUCUAUACCAAGUACAAUGGACUCUCCUACAAGAGUCACCUCUACAGAUGCUCCAAGGCAAAUUAA